AAAACCCUACCACUAACCUAGACCUAUAUAUAUGAAGCAAAGCCUAAAACUAAAGGAGGGGGGAACGAACAAAAAAAAAGGCUGCGCAUAAAAAUGAAAAACAAAAAGCUGCGGACCUAAAACGAAGAAAGCUUCUUCGUUUAAGAAGCUGGUACGAGCAGCAGCUGGAAAAAGCUGCGCAACACAGACGACCCCCCGACCAUCAUCUUCUCCAAACGACCCCCCCCUGUUCGCUUAUUCUUUCCUUCAGCAAACCAGAGCGAAAGUAGAACUAUACAAGCACGACCCCCACCCAUUUACAUCGUUCUCUUCGAUGAACCCUUUCCCCCAGAACACCGGCAACCCCUCGCCGGAAACCACCAGCCCUCAACCUGCGAUUUUUCUUCACAUAUCGGAAUUCAUGGAGGCGAGCUGCUCGACCUUGUUUUGAAGUCUAGCAUUUCAGUCCAAAGUUCAAGAAGUUGAGCCGAGGUGUCCAUCGUAGCCGAGUUCGAAGAGGUUUGGUCGAGUUUCGUUGAGGCUCCGGCGAAGCAUUCCGUUUUUCUGUCCGAAGCUCUGUUCGUUGUUGCUUGUUCCAUUCGAGGUCGUUGUUUGUCAUUCUGAGUUCGUCGAGGUUCGAAAGUUCCUGUUCUUCGCCCUUUGUGUUCAUUUCGUGUAUUUCUUAUAAUUAUGAUUCAACGUGAAGAUUUAUGUGAAUUUUUGUUACUUGUGAUAUUUUGAGGAAGAAUCUCAUUAAUUCUAGGUUACGUACUUUCCAGCCGUUUUACAAUGUAUAAGAUGUGUUUUGCUACUAGUCAUGGUAAAGUUUUCCGUUAUACUAACGAAUAGUUUACUGGAUAACGAAAAUGACGUUAAUUACAAGCCUUUUCUUGCAAAUGGAAUAGACCAAUUGGCUAUAACAUUAGAUGAACUUGGUCUUUCGUAUUUUGUUUACCAAUUGGCAAUUAUUUGUAUUACAUUAGCAGUUCAAUUUGUCUCUCUAUCCCUGACUCCAACAAAUAAAAAGGGAUGGAGGAAAUUUCAUGUUAUAGAUCGUGGGUACGGUUCCCGUGACGCGAUUCGUAAUAUUUUUGUAGAAUAAUAAUUAAAUAAAGUGUCAUAGCUACGGGUACGGUUCCCGUGACAUAGUUGUGAUACACAAUUUUUAAAUCCGGGUGCGCAUUGAUGCGACCCAAAUCCAAAUCUCAAUGGAGUCGAAAUGUGUAAACGACCACGAGUGCAUUGAUUGUGACGUGGUUCGAAGCGCGUUUUCACGACGUCGUGAUUCCUUUAAAAUAAACGAUGACAAAAAGCUGUUUACGAAUAAAAGGCACAUAAGCUAGCAUUUAUUAAAAUCAGAUAAAAUCAAAUGCAACAGUUAAGCGACCGUGUUAGAACCACGGAACCAGGGAAUGCCUAACACCUUCUCCCGGGUUAACAGAAUUCCUUACUCGGAUUUCUGGUUCGUAGACUGUAACAGAGUCACAUUCUUCCUCGGUUCGGGAUUCAACCGGUGACUUAGGACACCCUUAAUCUCCCAGGUGGCGACUCUGAACAAUAAUAAUUAAAUCCCGUUCCGAUUGUCCUUUAACAGGAAAAACUCCUAUUUUCGUACACCUUCACGAGUACAGGUAAAAAGGAGGUGUGACAUAUAUAUAUAUAUAUAUAUAGAGAGAGAGAGAGAGAGAUUUUUAUUUCUCUUUUUUCUAAUAUUUUUUUAUUUUUUGCUAUUUUCCUUCAUUUUAAAGCUUUUUUCCCCUCCAAAGAAAUUAUUCAAUUAUUCUACCGUUUCUCUAUCCGUAAGUUCCUUCCCCAAUUAAAUCUCGUUACUUCAUCAACUGUAUAUUGCUUCAUCAACUGUAACGUAAACUCCGUUCCCUGUUCAUAUAUAAAAUAUAAAAUUUUAUUUUUCUUUGUGCUUUACGGCUGAGUUCUUUAAGACCUGGAUGUGCUUUCACUCGUGAUGUGAAUUGUAAAGCCCCACAAAUUCCGUAAACAUCUAAGACAUUAAAGUGCGCCACUGCAUGGAAAAAGAGACUAUGAACUAGCACCAAACCACGUGAUUAUGAUAGUCAGUGUAGAAAGUAUAAUAAAAGUGAUUUAGGAUCUAAGGGUAGACCUAGAACCAAGUCAAGUCGGAAACAGACGCAAUGGACUAAAGUUUCAAAUAAGUUUGUGCAAGACUCAAAGGCGGAUUCCGACUUUGAAGUUUAUGGGUUUAUAUAAUGAUCUCAAGUUAUCAAUUGGGUUCACAAUCAAAUAUUUAAAGAUAUUUAAUAAUUUUUUAAUAUAUAUAAAAGGACAGUACAAAAAUUACUGGGUUCCCGGGAACCCGCACAUUACCGUCUAGAUCCGCCACUGACAAGACAUGACUUUAAAUAAUAACAACUCCCAGGACAUGAACAAUAUAUGAUGCAUGACUAUCAAGUGAAUGUCUACUGAGUUUAGUUAUCAAUGCUUCAAACCAUUUAUCAUUUGGAUAUUCUUACAAAAAAAUUAUGACCUUUUUAUUGUAGGGUGGCAGAACAGCUAUGCACACAGAGGAUGUGGGCUAUGUCGUAGGCUACGUGGCAACACGAACUCAAAAUUAUUUUUUUAAAAUUUAUUUAUAUAAUUUUCCAGAGUAACCGGGAUGUUGUAUUAUCUUCCAAAUAUAGGAAGGGAUGAUUGCUUUACCUCCAAAGAUUACACCACUAGGAUUUUCACAGAGAGGUGUUGUAACGACCGAUCGGUCGUUUUGAGCAAUUGCAUUUCGUUCGGUUAUUUGAGCGCAGGAGUACCUCCUUAAAAUAUAUUAUGACUUAUGUGAAUAGUCAGUUUUGGUUUUUAGAUUAUUCAGAAUUGAUUUGUAAGAAUGAUUCUCAGCUAGUAGCUUUAAAUUUGAAAGAUUUGACCAAGU
This 2878-nucleotide long non-coding RNA is filed under the name Nicotiana tabacum (common tobacco). Its description in RNAcentral is "long non-coding RNA (NTAB_LNC013833)". The record is from RNAcentral. Lineage: Eukaryota; Viridiplantae; Streptophyta; Magnoliopsida; Solanales; Solanaceae.